Molecule: unclassified non-coding RNA, 469 nt
Filed under: Hevea brasiliensis (rubber tree)
Lineage: Eukaryota; Viridiplantae; Streptophyta; Magnoliopsida; Malpighiales; Euphorbiaceae
Source: RNAcentral
UGCUUAUUUUAGCCUUCACAAAGCCUUAAAUUUCAAUAUUAAUUCUGAGACCUGCAGGUGUCAUGCAUCACUGUGAUACUAGUUAUGAUGGAGAUUGUCUUGGUGUGCUUGGAUGUCCAUUUACCUGUAACUUUUGGUUAUGCUGAAAAAUUUUGGAAAACUUCCUGGAGUGAUUGUAGCAUGUGCAAACUUAUCCACUUGCUUUGAUGAAAGUUGGUACUUUCUGUUUUAGAAAGAAAACCCAAGUUAUUUUGUUUUCUUUCUGCAUGAGUUUUCCCUAUGUGACUUAAGAUUGGCUUUAAUAAUAUGAGUAGACUAAAAACUUUUGCAUGAAUUAAGUUUGAGGUAGGUGCAUAUUCAUUCACAUCAAACUUUUUGAAGCUUAAUAGUUAAGUUUUCUAGAUUUUGGUUCUCUUAUGUUCUUACUGUCCUCUCAUGUUUACUCAGGGUAACUUUGAUCUGGUGGGAA